This 253-nucleotide ribosomal RNA is filed under the name uncultured bacterium. RNAcentral describes it as "partial 16S ribosomal RNA". It matches the Rfam family "Bacterial small subunit ribosomal RNA", at positions 524 to 776 of the family's 1533-position model. The record is from RNAcentral.
GACAGAGGGUGCAAACGUUGUUCGGAAUUACUGGGCGUAAAGCGCAUGUAGGCGGUUCGUAAAGUCAGAUGUGAAAGCCCUGGGCUUAACCCAGGAAGUGCAUUUGAAACUCACGAACUUGAGUCCCGGAGAGGAAGGCGGAAUUCUCGGUGUAGAGGUGAAAUUCGUAGAUAUCGAGAGGAACAUCGGUGGCGAAGGCGGCCUUCUGGACGGUGACUGACGCUGAGAUGCGAAAGCGUGGGUAGCAAACAGG